This 477-nucleotide ribosomal RNA is filed under the name uncultured bacterium. Its description in RNAcentral is "partial 16S ribosomal RNA". It matches the Rfam family "Bacterial small subunit ribosomal RNA", at positions 28 to 507 of the family's 1533-position model. The record is from RNAcentral.
GAUUAACGCUGGCGGCGUGCAUAACACAUGCAAGUCGAACGAUGAAACUUAAAUGAUUUCUUCGGAAUGAACUUAAGUGGAUUAGUGGCGGACGGGUGAGUAACGCGUGAGUAACCUGCCUUACACAUGGGGAUAGCCGUUGGAAACGACGAAUAAUACCCUAUGAAACUAUCACUUCGCAUGAAGCGAUAGUCAAAGUGUUAGCGGUGUAAGAUGGACUUGCGUCUGAUUAGCUAGUUGGUGAGAAAAAAGCCCACCAAGGCAACGAUCAGUAGCCGGCUUGAGAGCGUGUACGGCCACAUUGGGACUGAGACACGGCCCAGACUCCUACGGGAGGCAGCAGUGGGGAAUUAUGCACAAUGCGGGAAACUCUGAUGCAGCGACGCCGCGUAAUUUAGAAGGCCUUCGGGUUGUAAAAAUCUUUUGUAUAGGAAGAAAAUGACAGUACUAUACGAAUAAGGUCCGGCUAAUUACGUG